AGCGAACGCUGGCGGCAUGCUUAACACAUGCCAGUCGCACGGGCAGCAAUGUCAGUGGCGGACGGGUGAGUAACGCGUAGGAACGUGUCCUGAGGUGGGGGACAACCCCGGGAAACUGGGGCUAAUACCGCAUAUGGGCUGAGGCCCAAAGCCGAGAGGCGCCUUUGGAGCGGCCUGCGUCCGAUUAGGUAGUUGGUGGGGUAAAGGCCUACCAAGCCUGCGAUCGGUAGCUGGUCUGAGAGGACGACCAGCCACACUGGGACUGAGACACGGCCCAGACUCGUAGGGGAGGAGGGAGGGGGAAUUUUUGAAAAAGGGGCGAAAGCCUGACCCACCAAGCCCGGGGGGGAAAAGAGGGUCUUGGGAUCGAAACCCCCUUGGGAGGGGGAGGAUGAUGAGGGUCCCGAAAAAAAAACCCCCGCCUAACUUCGUG
This 433-nucleotide ribosomal RNA is filed under the name uncultured bacterium. RNAcentral describes it as "partial 16S ribosomal RNA". It matches the Rfam family "Bacterial small subunit ribosomal RNA", at positions 30 to 507 of the family's 1533-position model. The record is from RNAcentral.